This 240-nucleotide ribosomal RNA is filed under the name Clostridioides difficile. Its description in RNAcentral is "partial 16S ribosomal RNA". It matches the Rfam family "Bacterial small subunit ribosomal RNA", at positions 415 to 673 of the family's 1533-position model. The record is from RNAcentral. Lineage: Bacteria; Bacillati; Bacillota; Clostridia; Peptostreptococcales; Peptostreptococcaceae.
CCGUCGGGCCGUAAAGCUCCGGCCUCAAGGAAGAUAAUGACGGUACUUGGGGAGGAAGCCCCGGCUAACUACGUGCCAGCAGCCGCGGUAAUACGUAGGGGGCUAGCGUUAUCCGGAUUUACUGGGCGGAAAGGGUGCGUAGGCGGUCUUUCAAGGCAGGAGUGAAAGGCUACGGCUCAACCGUAGUAAGCUCUUGAAACUGGGAGACUUGAGUGCAGGAGAGGAGAGUGGAAUUCCUAG